Molecule: long non-coding RNA, 1116 nt
Organism: Homo sapiens (human)
Lineage: Eukaryota; Metazoa; Chordata; Mammalia; Primates; Hominidae
Source: Ensembl
GAGUCUGUGGCUCAGCCAUCGUGACUAUGUAACCAGUAUUGGUCGGUGGCCCAAGGUCUCUCUCCUUUCAGGGUUCAACCUCCAACCUUAUUUCUGCUUCCUUCAUGUUGGAAUUCACACUGUGAGAAUUGUUGUCAUCCUUUCUCUACGACUCCAAGAGAAACUUUAUACUGGAGGAAGAAUAUUCUACCACUUUGGGAUGCUUCCAAAGAAAUGGGAUACCAAAGGAGUGAACUUCAGGUCAUUGGAAGUGGCCAAGCUGGAGGGCGACCUAUGGAGACAUGACCUUCAGUUCUUCCUGAGAUCGAUAAAGCUUAAAAGAAAAGAAAAAGCCAACUCAGCUUGUGCGUGGAUCCUGGACCUUGCUCUAAUACAGACCCCGCUCCUGGAGUGGGCCAUUAGGGACGAAAUCACACCGAUGGAAUGAAAGGGAAAAUAACCAAAGACAACAGCAACAGCUCAAAACACCAGAAAAAGCAGCAACACUAUAUCUAUCCGUCACUGGCCCAACUCGACAUCUGGAAAAGAACCCAGAGUAGCUGCCAACCAGAUGGCCCCUUGGUGACCGUGAAGCUGCAGCCUCUGACAUGAUAUGUAGAUAAAAGACGUCACGGGGAUAAGAGCUAGAGAAAGCUUUAACGAGAAGAGCUUAGACCAUUUUCAAAGCUCCUCCACAGUGCACGGAGGGGCCCAAAGCUGGCGGAGCGCUGGGCGACACGCUCCCGCUCGCACCAAGGCCUCGCUCUGAUGAGCUGGGCAAUUGGGAGACUGUUUGAACAAACCAAAGAAAAAUAUCAAAAGGCAAAUUGGAGUUAGGGAGAAAAUGAAUAGCCCAUGAUCUCCAAGGGAGAUUACAGAGGUAAUGACAAAGCAGGCAGGUUUUUAGAGGCGCUGUUAUUCCAAGAAAGGUAAUUUUGUUCAACUUAUUUUUUUUUUAACGGAAAAGAGGAUGAAGAGAUCAGCACUAGCUAAAUCAUCACUGUCAGAUAAAAGAUAAAUCUUUCAUUAGGAACCAUAUCUUUGCAUGCCCUUUUGACAUUGAAGAAUAUAUUUGAUGUAAGGAUUUGGGGCUUUAUCAAAACUAUAGUAUUCUAAAAUAAACAAAACCACAAUGUC